This 463-nucleotide ribosomal RNA is filed under the name uncultured bacterium. RNAcentral's name for it is "partial 16S ribosomal RNA". It matches the Rfam family "Bacterial small subunit ribosomal RNA", at positions 28 to 507 of the family's 1533-position model. The record is from RNAcentral.
GACGAACGCUGGCGGCGUGCUUAACACAUGCAAGUCGAACGGAAAGGCCUUUUCGGAGGUACUCGAGUGGCGAACGGGUGAGUAACACGUGGGUGAUCUGCCCUGCACUCUGGGAUAAGCCUGGGAAACUGGGUCUAAUACCGGAUAGGACCGCCCUUUAGUGUGUGUGGUGGCAAGUUUUUUCGGUGUAGGAUGAGCCCGCGGCCUAUCAGCUUGUUGGUGGGGUAAUGGCCUACCAAGGCGGCGACGGGUAGCCGGACUGAGAGGUUGGUCGGCCACAUUGGGACUGAGAUACGGCCCAGACUCCUACGGGAGGCAGCAGUGGGGAAUAUUGCACAAUGGGCGCAAGCCUGAUGCAGCGACGCCGCGUGGGGGAUGACGGCCUUCGGGUUGUAAACGCCUUUCGCCAGGGACGAAGCGUUUUGUGACGGUACCUGGAGAAGAAGCACCGGCUAACUACGUG